Long non-coding RNA from Homo sapiens (human), 444 nucleotides. NCBI's taxonomy places the organism in Eukaryota, Metazoa, Chordata, Mammalia, Primates, Hominidae. The record is from Ensembl.
AGGAUGGAGGACCCUGUCCAGGGUCACACAUGUGGCAGAGCAGGAAGGAGAACGUAGGCAUGUCUGACUCCGAAGUUGCCUUGAAGAGGGUACCACCGUGUUAUUUGGGAAACUCAUUUGAACCCAACAGAACUCCUUUCCCGGGGGCCCCUGAGGAGGCUGUCAUCCCAACUCACGCUCACCCAAGGAAGUACCAGCUGGUGAUCUUGGUGGCAUUGGCAACGGAGCCUCCCCAGUGGCUUCCAGCAAGUCACUGGGGCCUUGCCCAUGGGGGAACUGACAAGGAGGAAGGUCGCACCUGCCAUUGGAAACCAGAGAGACAGCUUCUGUGCACCCAAGAGACUCCUUGGAGGCUCCAAGGGAGAAAUACUACCAUGGGAUGGUUACUGUAGACUGACAUGGUUUGAGAAUAGAGAGAAAAAAAUGUAUUAUUAAAAACCCAAA